AUACGUAGGUGGCAAGCGUUGCCCGGAUUUACUGGGUGUAAAGGGCGUGUAGGCGGAGAUGCAAGUCAGGAGUGAAAUCUAGGGGCUCAACCCCUAAACUGCUUUUGAAACUGUAUCCCUUGAGUAUCGGAGAGGCAGGCGGAAUUUCCAGUGUAGCGGUGAGAUGCGUAGAUAUUAGGAGGAACACCAGUGGCGAAGGCGGCCUGCUGGACGACAACUGACGCUGAGGCGCGAAAGCGUGGGGAGCAAACAGGAUUAGAUACCCUGGUAGUCCACGCUGUAAACGAUGAAUACUAGGUGUGGGGGGACUGACCCCCUCCGUGCCGCAGUUAACACAAUAAGUAUUCCACCUGGGGAGUACGAUCGCAAGAUUGAAACUCAAAUGAAUUGGCGGGG
RNAcentral lists this ribosomal RNA (396 nucleotides) under uncultured bacterium. Its description in RNAcentral is "partial 16S ribosomal RNA". It matches the Rfam family "Bacterial small subunit ribosomal RNA", at positions 523 to 918 of the family's 1533-position model. The record is from RNAcentral.